GACGAACGCUGGCGGCGUGCCUAAUACAUGCGAGUUGAGCGAUGAAGCUUGGUGCUUGCCCCAAUUUGAAGAGCAGCGAACGGGUGAGUAACGCGUGGGGAAUCUGCCUUUGAGCGGGGGACAACAUUUGGAAACGAAUGCUAAUACCGCAUAACAACUUUAAACAUAAGUUUUAAGUUUGAAAGGUGCAAUUGCAUCACUCAAAGAUGAUCCCGCGUUGUAUUAGCUAGUUGGUGAGGUAAAGGCUCACCAAGGCGAUGAUACAUAGCCGACCUGAGAGGGUGAUCGGCCACAUUGGGACUGAGACACGGCCCAAACUCCUACGGGAGGCAGCAGUAGGGAAUCUUCGGCAAGGGACGAAAGUCUGACCGAGCAACGCCGCGUGAGUGAAGAAGGGUGUCGGAUCGUAAAACUCUGUUGGUAGAGAAGAACGUUGGUGAGAGUGGAAAGCUCAUCAAGUGACGGUAACUACCCAGAAAGGGACGGCUAACUACGUG
RNAcentral lists this ribosomal RNA (497 nucleotides) under uncultured bacterium. RNAcentral's name for it is "partial 16S ribosomal RNA". It matches the Rfam family "Bacterial small subunit ribosomal RNA", at positions 28 to 507 of the family's 1533-position model. The record is from RNAcentral.